UACGUAGGGUGCGAGCGUUAAUCGGAAUUACUGGGCGUAAAGGGUGCGUAGGCGGGUUUUUAAGUCAGGGGUGAAAUCCUGGAGCUCAACUCCAGAACUGCCUUUGAUACUGAAGAUCUUGAGUCCGGGAGAGGUGAGUGGAACUGCGAGUGUAGAGGUGAAAUUCGUAGAUAUUCGCAAGAACACCAGUGGCGAAGGCGGCUCACUGGCCCGGUACUGACGCUGAGGCACGAAAGCGUGGGGAGCAAACAGG
This 253-nucleotide ribosomal RNA is filed under the name uncultured bacterium. Its description in RNAcentral is "partial 16S ribosomal RNA". It matches the Rfam family "Bacterial small subunit ribosomal RNA", at positions 524 to 776 of the family's 1533-position model. The record is from RNAcentral.